UGUAAGCCAGGUUGGUUUCUAUCUUUUAAAAAAUAAAAUAUUUUAGUACGAAAGGAUUGAAUAUUUUAAUUAAAUUAAUUUAUCAUUUAUUUUGAUUAUCAUUAAAAAUUGGUAUGUAAUUUAUAAAAAAAAUUAUUUAUAAAUUUAUUUAAU
RNAcentral lists this ribosomal RNA (153 nucleotides) under Idaea aversata. RNAcentral's name for it is "partial 16S ribosomal RNA". Lineage: Eukaryota; Metazoa; Arthropoda; Insecta; Lepidoptera; Geometridae. The record is from RNAcentral.